RNAcentral lists this long non-coding RNA (615 nucleotides) under Homo sapiens (human). RNAcentral describes it as "HSALNT0143294". Lineage: Eukaryota; Metazoa; Chordata; Mammalia; Primates; Hominidae. The record is from RNAcentral.
GGCCCACUUUCGUAAAGCUGACAUUUCUCAUGAAUAGCGAAUUCCUGAGUGUGGGCAGUAGACCAAGGCCAGGAAUUCUCAUUAGCUGGUGAUAAUCAGGCAUGACUUGGACUGUGGAAGGCAGCUGGGCGGAGAGGUCAUAGGUAUGGGCAGGGGUGAGCCACAGCUGAUAGCUGGGCGCGAUCUGCCUGGAUUGUUACUGAAAUACUAACAUGCUCUUUAUGGGUUAGUAACUCCCUUCACCUCCCCAACGGCUCCUACCCGCUGGGACCUUCACCUCCCCAUGAUCCAACAGUGAAAGAUUUAAUACCCACAUGACAAGGGCCUUCCAGACAUGGUCCAGCUGGGGUCUGAUGCUGAUUUGGAUAGAUCCAUGGCAAACUGAUGAAGAAAUUUUGGUCAGAGAGAUGAAGUAGCUCUGCCAGUACACAGCAUGGAAUUGAAAGCAAUGGGCCUGGCACUGACUGAGAGGUACUCACAGCUUGGGGCAGACUCCCAUUUGGAGAUGGGAUCCUGAAGAAGCCUGGAUGUUUGUGAUGGCGGUCAACAGAGCUUCCAGAAUGGUAAAGUCCAGUUCUGCUUGUGACUUGUUCAUGUGCCUUGCCAAGGGCUGUC